This 599-nucleotide ribosomal RNA is filed under the name bacterium enrichment culture clone T56x_E2_T3_B07. RNAcentral's name for it is "bacterial SSU rRNA". It matches the Rfam family "Bacterial small subunit ribosomal RNA", at positions 45 to 639 of the family's 1533-position model. The record is from RNAcentral.
UGCCUUACACAUGCAAGUCGAACGGCAGCACGGGGGCAACCCUGGUGGCGAGUGGCGAACGGGUGAGUAAUACAUCGGAACGUGUCCUGUAGUGGGGGAUAGCCCGGCGAAAGCCGGAUUAAUACCGCAUACGCUCUACGGAGGAAAGGGGGGGAUCUUAGGACCUCCCGCUACAGGGGCGGCCGAUGGCAGAUUAGCUAGUUGGUGGGGUAAAGGCCUACCAAGGCGACGAUCUGUAGCUGGUCUGAGAGGACGACCAGCCACACUGGGACUGAGACACGGCCCAGACUCCUACGGGAGGCAGCAGUGGGGAAUUUUGGACAAUGGGCGAAAGCCUGAUCCAGCAAUGCCGCGUGUGUGAAGAAGGCCUUCGGGUUGUAAAGCACUUUUGUCCGGAAAGAAAACGCCGUGGUUAAUACCCGUGGCGGAUGACGGUACCGGAAGAAUAAGCACCGGCUAACUACGUGCCAGCAGCCGCGGUAAUACGUAGGGUGCAAGCGUUAAUCGGAAUUACUGGGCGUAAAGCGUGCGCAGGCGGUCCGCUAAGACAGAUGUGAAAUCCCCGGGCUUAACCUGGGAACUGCAUUUGUGACUGGCGG